GUUACGACAUGUCGUAACACAUAAAUCUUAGUCGAAAGGGUACGUCGACAUUUGGCGAGAGUUUUUCCCCUUUUUAUAUCUAAUAUCAUACGUAUGGCAAUAUAACUCAUUAACAAUAUAAAGUAGAGGACUAGAGUCUUUUUAUAUGAGGUCCUUGGUUUAUGACCUUGAAAUUGAGCUCAAGGUCAUAUGCUUAUUUAACGCUCUAGAUUUUGACCUUUGCUUUUACCUCAUAUGUACACA
Molecule: long non-coding RNA, 243 nt
Filed under: Mytilus galloprovincialis (Mediterranean mussel)
Lineage: Eukaryota; Metazoa; Mollusca; Bivalvia; Mytilida; Mytilidae
Source: RNAcentral